Vicugna pacos (alpaca) is the source of this 2085-nucleotide non-coding RNA. The record is from RefSeq and is a predicted model, not a curated record. Lineage: Eukaryota; Metazoa; Chordata; Mammalia; Artiodactyla; Camelidae.
GAGAAGGCACUUAAACAUAAAUCAGCCAGAUUUUCUAAGGAUACCAAAAUGUGGGAUUCCAAAGCAUGGGUCUCAAAAGCAACUGAAGCUCUUCUUCCAGGCAGACAUCCUGCUUGUUAGGCCAGCCCAAUGACCAAGACUAACACAGGACAUCAGAUCAUCAGGUUUUUCAAUUGUUCCGAGGGGCCUGAUGAAGUCUUUCACCCUCCUGCUCUGUCCUCCCUGGGAUUCCCCAGUCUUCAUGUCAUUGGCUCCUAACAUCCAACCAGUGACAUCAAGGCUCAAUGAUCCAAGAUCACCUGGAGCUGAUCAUCCUCCUGACAUAUUGUCAGAGGUCAGUGCAUCCAGUGCUACGACACAGUGCCUACAUCUCUCCCCUCACUUCAUCUCAUCAGGUUGACAUUUUAUCAUCUCUCAUCAUCACAAGAAGGGGAUCUGCAUGCCUGAUGAUGCUGAGGGCUGUGGAAACCCAGAGAAGGAGACUAGGGGAAAAUAUUGACAACACUGGUUUUAGAUGUUCCACGAGUCGGCAAUUGUCACAGAAAGGCAGAAGAAACAUCUGAAUUGGAGAUUUUAUGAAGGCUGGUGGGACAAACCACUUCACAUUUCUGUCACUUCUUUAGUGAAAAUUCUACUCCAGAAGCUGAGAAUAUUUGAUGGCUAAAUACAUAGCUGGCCUCUCCCCUUGGAAAUGAUUCACAGAAUGUGGUGGUGGAGAACGAGAAAUGUGGUGCCACUUGACAUGCAAAUACAGUAGUUGAAGUCGUGUCUUAGCAGAGAGCCUUGUGCAAUUCAGAUGACCAAUUUCCGCCACUAUUUUCCAAUUGUUUUGCAUAACAUCAAGCUUAUGCCCUGAAAGAUGCCAAUUAAUAUACAAAAAUGUAAGUUAAUAUUUAAAAAUAUUAUUAUGCAUACACUGCCUUAGUAAUACUAAAAUAAGAGGGUAGAAGAAAGUGCAGUUACUUGCAAAACUGGUGUGCCUUACAUCUGGGAAGUCUCAAGCCACUGAUAAAGACCAGACUACUUUAGAAAGAAUAAUAGCCUGAGGCUGAAAUUUACUCAGGACAUCACAAAUCAAUGACAAGUAAGUUUCUCCUCUAGGUCCCUGACAAAGUAUUUUUCUUUAAUUGAAGGAACAGACUUGGCUUUUCCAGAAAUGAUCUGAUUCUGGAGCUGUCAGAGGAAACCUCUUUCUAAAUACAUCUAUCUGUAAUGAUAGGCUAAAUCAGUUCAUGAGGAACAAGGAGUUUUCUAAAAUAAUUUUUUUUAUUUUCUUAAAGUUAAAAAAGUAAUCUAAUAAUAAAUUAUGAUGGUUUACCUAAAGUAAGUCUUAUUGAAUGUUGUUGUUAUUAUUAUUAUUAUUAUUAUUACUACUACUACUACUACUACUACUACUAUUACUAUUAUUAUUAUUUGCCAGAGUCAAGUCUCUCUUUUCUUUUUUUUCUUUUUUUGAAGCAGGGGAGGUAUUUAGGUUUGUAUUUAUUUAUUUAUUUUAAUGGAGGAAUUGGGGAUUGAAUCCAGGACCUCAUGUGUCCUACGUCUGUGCUUGACCGCUGCGCUAUACCCUUUCCCCCCAGAAUCAAGUUUCUUAUUGCAUGUUGACCCCCUGAGACUUUGGCUCAAUUUCAAACUGUGUAUGCUACCUUUUUUCAUCUUUAAACUGAUUCCCAUUUUUCUUUCUCUAUAUUUCUUCAACACAUGAAAGUAAAAACUACAUGGAUUAUUCUUGUCUUCAAUAAUAUGACAGAAAGCGAAUGGUCUUUGAAAAGGGACAAACUUGUAUUUGAAUCUUAGUUUUGCUGGUUUCCUACUGUGUUGUCUUGAAAAAGUUAUUUAAUCUCUCUGAAUCUCAGUUUUACCUUCUGUAGAAUGGAAAUGAUACUUCCUUUACAAUAUUUGUAAUAAAGAUUCAUGAUGAUAAAGGUAAGUUGAAUGACUUGAUAAGUAUUUAAAAUAUGGUAGGUAUGAUGAUGAUGGUCAUUAGUUCUCGUUGCUUAUAGAUAAUUUUCCUUUAAUAAAGUUUUCUUUUUCUCAUAAUUAAAGGAAUACAUGUUCAUUAUAAAAGACUGGUAAUAUACAUAG